RNAcentral lists this ribosomal RNA (603 nucleotides) under Salmonella enterica subsp. enterica serovar Vancouver. RNAcentral's name for it is "partial 23S ribosomal RNA". It matches the Rfam family "Bacterial large subunit ribosomal RNA", at positions 2340 to 2925 of the family's 2925-position model. Lineage: Bacteria; Pseudomonadati; Pseudomonadota; Gammaproteobacteria; Enterobacterales; Enterobacteriaceae. The record is from RNAcentral.
AGGAGGUUAGUGCAAAGGCAUAAGCUAGCUUGACUGCGAGAGUGACGGCUCGAGCAGGUGCGAAAGCAGGUCUUAGUGAUCCGGUGGUUCUGAAUGGAAGGGCCAUCGCUCAACGGAUAAAAGGUACUCCGGGGAUAACAGGCUGAUACCGCCCAAGAGUUCAUAUCGACGGCGGUGUUUGGCACCUCGAUGUCGGCUCAUCACAUCCUGGGGCUGAAGUAGGUCCCAAGGGUAUGGCUGUUCGCCAUUUAAAGUGGUACGCGAGCUGGGUUUAGAACGUCGUGAGACAGUUCGGUCCCUAUCUGCCGUGGGCGCUGGAGAAUUGAGGGGGGCUGCUCCUAGUACGAGAGGACCGGAGUGGACGCAUCACUGGUGUUCGGGUUGUCAUGCCAAUGGCACUGCCCGGUAGCUAAAUGCGGAAAAGAUAAGUGCUGAAAGCAUCUAAGCACGAAACUUGCCCCGAGAUGAGUUCUCCCUGACUCCUUGAGAGUCCUGAAGGAACGUUGAAGACGACGACGUUGAUAGGUCGGGUGUGUAAGUGUAGCGAUACAUUGAGCUAACCGAUACUAAUGAACCGUGAGGCUUAACCUUACAACGCCGAAG